RNAcentral lists this ribosomal RNA (951 nucleotides) under Triticum aestivum (bread wheat). RNAcentral's name for it is "partial small subunit ribosomal RNA". The stretch from base 146 to 277 matches the Rfam family "Small nucleolar RNA Z247". Lineage: Eukaryota; Viridiplantae; Streptophyta; Magnoliopsida; Poales; Poaceae. The record is from RNAcentral.
AUGUUUGCUGCUCAGAGUCAAGCUCAAGCCAUAAAUACCCGCAUCGAGCUGACCAAUCUUCAGAAAGGUAAUAUGACAAUGGCUGAAUACCUUGGCAAAAUUAAAAGUCUUAUAGAUGAAGUUGCCUGCACCGCCGCCGCGCUCUCCGAUCCGGAGAUCGUCUCCAAAAUUCUCGCCGGACUGGACAUGGAAUAUAAUCCUGUCGUCUCGGCGCUUUCUGCUCGGGUGGAACCGGUCACGGUUCAGGAGCUCUACAGCCAGCUCCUGAGCUUUGAUGCCCGCCUCAGUCUUCUUCACGGCACCAACCUUCGCCAAUCCUCUGCCAAUGCUGCCUCUCGUGGUCGCGGCCGUGGGCGCGGUAACCAGGGACAGCCCCGCACCGGUGGGCGCGGGCGUGGCCACUUUCAGGGAGAUGGCGGCUACAACAGCUCUGGUGGCGGCGGCUACCACAACUCCAGCAACUACACCAAUAAACCAGCAGGCGGCAGCUCCAACAACAACUCCGGCCGCCGCUCCUCUUCUUCCCGGGGACGUCCUCGGUGCCAACUCUGCAAAAAGGCAGGACAUGAAGUUGUGGAUUGCUGGCAUAGGUAUGAUGAAGAUUUUGUCCCCGACGCACGUCUUGUUGCUGCAGCUAUGCGCGAGCAAGGGGGCGAUGGCAUGUGGUAUGUAGACUCUGGUGCAACCGACCACGUCACUGGUGAACUAGAGCAACUCGCCCUCUGGGAGAAAUACCUUGGCAACGAUCAGAUUCACACUGCAAGUGGUGGAGGAUCGGGCAACGAGGGAACUUCUACAUCACGGCAGAUGCAUUGGAGGGCUCUACCCCAUCUCAUCCGGAGUUUUCAAUCACAGACGUCGUCAUGCUUGUUCUGUCAUCAAGCCCUCCUUGGCACGGUGGCAUCAAAGAUUAGGACACCCAUCAUCAGUCAUAGUCAAGCAAGUAGUUAA